This 77-nucleotide transfer RNA is filed under the name Alphaproteobacteria bacterium. RNAcentral's name for it is "tRNA-Arg". It matches the Rfam family "tRNA". From Rfam's summary of the family: Transfer RNA (tRNA) molecules are approximately 80 nucleotides in length. Their secondary structure includes four short double-helical elements and three loops (D, anti-codon, and T loops). The record is from RNAcentral. RNAcentral also lists the same sequence under 3 other names. Lineage: Bacteria; Pseudomonadati; Pseudomonadota; Alphaproteobacteria.
GCGCUCGUAGCUCAGCUGGAUAGAGCACUAGACUACGAAUCUAGGGGUCAGGAGUUCGAAUCUUCUCGAGCGCACCA